Molecule: unclassified non-coding RNA, 1540 nt
Filed under: Hevea brasiliensis (rubber tree)
Lineage: Eukaryota; Viridiplantae; Streptophyta; Magnoliopsida; Malpighiales; Euphorbiaceae
Source: RNAcentral
AGCUGUGAUUCGUGGAAAGAAGGUAUUUAAUUGUUUAGAUAAUUGGGUUUCUGAUAUUAUUCUUUUUGUUAACUGUUGAUCUAUAUUUAGUAUGAAUCAUGUGGCAGUUACCUAAAGUUUUAGGCUUUUAUAGUAUUAUUCAACUACUGCAUAACAUGGUAUCUCAUUUACUUUAUGAAGAUGCUUAAGAUUGCAUAAUGCUGUUGUCAAAUUCAGAAUAAUAAAGGCAUUACAGUUGUCUGCAGAUAAAAGUCCAUUUUCUCCCUGAUUAUUUAAGAUUUAUCAAAAUGACGAUGAUUUGUGUUAAUAUGCAUCUUUAUUAUGAUUAAUGGGCCACCUUAACAUCUUUUGACUUUCAAAUAUCUAAAGUAAAGAAUUCCUGUAACGUCUGUUAUUGAUGCUGUCGAGAACUUUACUGUAAUAGCACUUUGGUAUAGAUCUUAAAAUCCCACUCGUUCUUUAGCAAAUAAUGGUAAGGAUUUAAGAAUUUCAUACUUUGGACCACCUUUAAGAGUCCUUAAUGACCUUUUUUUUUCUUAUUUGCACUGUAGUCCUCAAUUAUUUUGGUCAUGGACUAUUGUUUCCUUUUAUUAGGCCUACGCAGGAGAGAUAAAACACAUAUAUGACAGGUUGGUUUUGCUUUUAUAAAGUUUAGUUGACAAACUGUCCCAAGUUAUUUGGUAUCCCUAAUGUAAUGUAUCGUGGGAUGCGUCAUUUUCAUCUGUUUUGGUGGCAAGACCUAAUAACGUAUUAUUCCUCUUCAUUUGGCGGGGAUCAACUUUGCUUGCUAUUUCGGUGCAAUGUGGGUAGGAAGAUGAAUGCAAUUUUAAUUAUUCAUAAUUUCAUGUUGUGGUAUGAAUUUUCUUUUUUAGUAACUGCCACUAAAAUAUUCAAAUUUAUUGCACUGUUGGUGGUGAAUUGUUUGGUAAAGACUUGAUAAGACAUUGAACCUUUCAAGCUCCAUCUAAUUAGGUGGAAUUGAGUGAAGAUUUUAUUAUACUUUCUUUUAUAUAUUUAACAUGCAUUUUGCAGGGUUCUGGUGGCAUCACUGUGAAGAAAACCGGCCAAGCUCUCAUUAUUGGUAUUUACGAUGAACCAUUGACUCCAGGACAGUGCAACAUGAUCGUAGAGAGGCUGGGUGAUUACCUCCUUGAUCAAGGCCUGUAGGCUUUCAAUACCUCGUCUUAGCUUCAUGGUUGUCAAAUGCUGAUUUCAGGAUUGGGCUUGCAGCUGGCUAUGAACUGGCAUUAGUGAUUUUGCUGGGAAAUAACAUUGUGAGGACAGAAACAAUGAUAUUUUUUUUUGGUCACCUUUUGUUGUUGAUUGUAGGAUCAUUGCCUUUUUAUCUUUUCAACUCCCGCCAUGCUUUCUUAAUUUAUGUGUAUUCAUGCUGCCCUCUUUUAUGCUUGAAUUAAGUUUGGAUAUCUAAAGGUUGAAUAUUUUGGAUUUAUUUUAUACUUCAUAAUAGUAUCUUUUUGAGUUUCUACGCUCGAUAUCUUUGAUACUCUUACAUUUAUGGUUUUAAUGGAAAGCAUUUUCA